RNAcentral lists this transfer RNA (69 nucleotides) under Cavia porcellus (domestic guinea pig). It matches the Rfam family "tRNA". Rfam says of the family: Transfer RNA (tRNA) molecules are approximately 80 nucleotides in length. The record is from Rfam by way of RNAcentral. Lineage: Eukaryota; Metazoa; Chordata; Mammalia; Rodentia; Caviidae.
GGGGUUGUAGCUCAGUGGUAGGGUGUGUGCUUAGCAUGCAUAAGGCCUCAGGUUCAAUCCCCAGCACCA